This is a long non-coding RNA of Cynocephalus volans (Philippine flying lemur), 379 nucleotides long. RefSeq lists it as uncharacterized. The record is from RefSeq and is a predicted model, not a curated record. Lineage: Eukaryota; Metazoa; Chordata; Mammalia; Dermoptera; Cynocephalidae. The transcript has 4 exons.
GCACAAUAGGCGCUCCAUAAUUCCAUAAUUAAUUAGGUUUCCUAGGUACCCCGAGACUGGAAGAGGGUGUCCCUGUGGACACAAAUAUUACAAAGAGUAACAGUGCCUGCCCUGAAGGAGGACUGUCAGGAGCACUGAAUGGAGAAGCCAUUUGCCAUGUGAUACCCUGGUUGCCAUGGAACUCUGUAGACUAAGAAGGCCCUCACCAGAUGUGCCCCCCAGACUGUGGACUUCCCAGCCUCUGAACUCUGGCCAGUACAGGGAUCUAAACCUUUGACCUUGGUGUUACCAGCACCACGUCAUAAUGUUUUUAUGUUGAUAAUGCUGAUAUGACAGUAUUUUGGAUAUAUGGUUAAAUAAAAUAUAUUAUUAAGAUUAA